RNAcentral lists this ribosomal RNA (543 nucleotides) under Microbacterium sp. S1ID23. Its description in RNAcentral is "bacterial SSU rRNA". It matches the Rfam family "Bacterial small subunit ribosomal RNA", at positions 171 to 728 of the family's 1533-position model. The record is from RNAcentral. Lineage: Bacteria; Bacillati; Actinomycetota; Actinomycetes; Micrococcales; Microbacteriaceae.
GGAUAUGUGACGUGACCGCAUGGUGUGCGUCUUGAAAGAAUUUCGGUUGUGGAUGGGCUCGCGCCGUAUCAGCUUGUUGGUGAGGUAAUGGCUCACCAAGGCGUCGACGGGUAGCCGGCCCGAGAGGGUGACCGGCCACACUGGGCCUGAGACACGCCCCAGACUCCUACGGGAGGCAGCAGUGGGGAAUAUUGCACAAUGGGCGCAAGCCUGAUGCAGCAACGCCGGGUGAGGGAUGACGGCCUUCGGGUUGUAAACCUCUUUUAGCAGGGAAGAAGCGAAAGUGACGGUACCUGCAGAAAAAGCGCCGGCUAAUUACGUGCCAGCAGCCGCGGUAAUACGUAGGGAGCAAGCGUUAUCCGGAAUUAUUGGGCGUAAAGAGCUCGUAGGCGGUUUGUCGCGUCUGCUGUGAAAUCCGGAGGCUCAACCUCCGGCCUCCAGUGGGUACGGGCAGCCUAGAGUGCGGUAGGGGAGAUUGGAAUUCCUGGUGUAGCGGUGGAAUGCGCAGAUAUCAGGAGGAACACCGAUGGCGAAGGCAGAUCU